This 2937-nucleotide ribosomal RNA is filed under the name Fusobacterium hwasookii. Its description in RNAcentral is "23S ribosomal RNA". It matches the Rfam family "Bacterial large subunit ribosomal RNA". The record is from RNAcentral. Lineage: Bacteria; Fusobacteriati; Fusobacteriota; Fusobacteriia; Fusobacteriales; Fusobacteriaceae.
AAAUAGAUUAAAAUAAUUAAGGGCACACAAAGGAUGCCUUGGUAGUAAGAGCCGAUGAAGGACGUGGUAAGCUGCGAUAAGCCUAGAUAAGUUGCAAUCGAACGUAAGAGUCUAGGAUUUCCGAAUGGAGCAAUCUAUUAAGAUGGAGUCUUAAUACGAAAGAGGGAACCGCGUGAACUGAAACAUCUAAGUAACGCGAGGAAAAGAAAGUAAAAACGAUACCCGAAGUAGCGGCGAGCGAAACGGGUCAAGCCUAAACCUUAAAUAUGUCAAGGAUACAGCCGUUGUAUUUAAGGGGUUGAGGGACAGAGUGAUGAAGAACUGUAAGAUAUUCAAUAUAGUGUAUUGAUGAACUAGAAUAGUCUGGAAAGGUUAACCGUAGAAGGUGAAAGUCCUGUAUAGGUAAAUCCUUACACAUAUAACUUUGAUCCCAAGUAACAUGGAACACGAGGAAUUCUGUGUGAAUCAGUGAGGACCAUAUCUCAUAAGGCUAAAUACUCUUACUAACCGAUAGCGCAUAGUACCGUGAGGGAAAGGUGAAAAGAACCCCUGGAGGGGAGUGAAAUAGAACCUGAAAUUGUGUGCUUACAAGCGGUCAGAGCCAGUAAUGGUGAUGGCGUGCCUUUUGGAGAAUGAUCCUGCGAGUUACGUUAAACGGCGAGGUUAAGUAUUACGGAGCCGAAGGGAAACCAAGUCUUAAUAGGGCGAUUUAGUCGUUUGGCGUAGACGCGAAACCUGGUGAUCUAAACCUGUCCAGGAUGAAGCUGUGGUAAGACACAGUGGAGGUCCUAACCCACCGCCGUUGAAAAGUUGGGGGAUGAGGUAGGUUUAGGGGUGAAAAGCCAAUCGAACCAGGAGAUAGCUCGUUCUCUCCGAAAUGCAUCUAGGUGCAGCCUUGAGUGUUCAAUUAUGGGGGUAGAGCACUGAAUGAUCUAGGGGGCAUAUUGCUUACUGAAAUCAAUCAAACUCCGAAUACCAUAAUUUAUAGCUCAGGAGUGAGACUAUGGGAGUUAACUUCCAUUGUCAAAAGGGAAACAACCCAGACCACCAGCUAAGGUCCCUAAUUAUAACUAAGUGGGAAAGGAGGUGGAGAUUCACAAACAACUAGGAGGUUGGCUUAGAAGCAGCCAUACCUUUAAAGAGUGCGUAAUAGCUCACUAGUCGAGAGUCUCUGCGCCGACAAUGUAACGGGGCUAAGUUAUAAACCGAAGCUGUGGAAUCCGUAAGGAUUGGUAGGAGAGCGUUCUGUAGGCCGUUGAAGGAGAAGGGUAACCGACUUUGGAGGUAUCAGAAGUGAGAAUGCAGGAAUAAGUAGCGAGAAAGGGGGCGAGAAUCCCCCUCGCCGGAAGACCAAGGUUUUCAGGGUAAAGCUUGUCUUCCCUGAGUAAGCCGGGACCUAAGCCCAGGCUAUAAUGCGUAGGCGAAUGGAAAACAGAUUAAUAUUUCUGUGCCAGUCAUAUAUUGUGAUGGAGGGACGCAGAAGGGUAUGCGCGCGGACGAACGGAAGUGUCCGUAGAAGUAUGUAGGAUGACUUAGUAGGAAAAUCCAUUAAGUUAUAUCUGAGGUAUGAUAUAUAGUCGUAAGAUGAAUGCGCAAAUCCCACGCUGCCAAGAAAAGCUUCUAACGUUAAUUUAUGACUGCCCGUACUGCAAACCGACACAGGUGGUCAGGAUGAGAAAUCUAAGGCGGACAGGCUAACUCUCGUUAAGGAACUCUGCAAAAUAACCUCGUAACUUCGGGAGAAGAGGAGCCCUUGGGUGUUAGUAUCCAUGCGAUACAAAGCGCUCGAGGGUCGCAGUGAAGAGGCUCAAGCAACUGUUUAACAAAAACACAGGUCUAUGCUAAGCUGGAAGGCGAUGUAUAUGGGCUGACACCUGCCCAGUGCUGGAAGGUUAAGAGGAGGAGUGAGAGCUCCGAAUUGAAGCCCCAGUGAACGGCGGCCGUAACUAUAACGGUCCUAAGGUAGCGAAAUUCCUUGUCGGGUAAGUUCCGACCUGCACGAAUGGUGUAAUGAUUUGAGCGCUGUCUUGACGGGAGGCCUGGUGAAAUUGUAUUACCGGUGAAGAUACCGGUUACCUACAGUAGGACGGAAAGACCCCAUGGAGCUUUACUGUAGCUUGGUAUUGGGUUUUGGCAUUGCAUGUAUAGGAUAGUUGGGAGACUGAGAUGAUAUGGCGCUAGCUGUAUCGGAGUCAUCGGUGGAAUACCAACCAUUCAAUGCUGAAAUUCUAAUCUGUGGUUUGUAGCCACGGAGACAGUGCUAGGUGGGCAGUUUGACUGGGGCGGUCGCCUCCGAAAGAGUAACGGAGGCGUUCAAAGGUUCUCUCAGGUUGGAUGGAAAUCAACCAUAGAGUGCAAUGGCAUAAGAGAGCUUGACUGCAAGACUGACGGGUCGAGCAGAUGCGAAAGCAGGACAUAGUGAUCCGGCGAUUCCGAAUGGAAGGGUCGUCGCUCAACGGAUAAAAGCUACCCUGGGGAUAACAGGCUGAUCCUACCCGAGAGUCCAUAUCGACGGUAGGGUUUGGCACCUCGAUGUCGGCUCAUCGCAUCCUGGGGCUGGAGAAGGUCCCAAGGGUUGGGCUGUUCGCCCAUUAAAGCGGUACGUGAGCUGGGUUCAGAACGUCGUGAGACAGUUCGGUCCCUAUCCACUGUAGGCGUUAGAAUAUUGAGAAGACCUGUCCUUAGUACGAGAGGACCGGGAUGGACAAACCUCUGAUGUACCAGUUGUCACGCCAGUGGCACAGCUGGGUAGUCACGUUUGGAAUAGAUAACCGCUGAAAGCAUCUAAGCGGGAAACUAACUUCAAGAUAAGUAUUCUUUAAGAUACCUUCGAGCCUAGGAGGUUGAUAGGUUGGAGGUGUAAGUACAGCAAUGUAUUUAGCUGACCAAUACUAAUUAUCGAAGUUUUAAUCUAAUUUGUUUUUACUAUAUAGUUUC